GCUCCUUCCUCCUCUCUCUGCUUCCUGGCCACCAUGAUGUGCACAGCAUUCCUCUGCCCAGGCCCCUCCACCAUGCCAUUUCUGCACUUGAACUUGCCAACCAUGGACUGAAACUCCAGAAACAAUACCCGAAUGAAGACAUUAGAGGCCUCUCUUUGGAUUUGUUUUAUAAUAACAAAAUUUAUUUAGGGGAGGUUUCCUCUUACUCUGUGCUUGUUUUGAGCAACACAUUCACUAACAUUCUGGAAGAACAAAGGCUGAGCACAUUAUAAUCACAAAC
RNAcentral lists this long non-coding RNA (280 nucleotides) under Heterocephalus glaber (naked mole-rat). RNAcentral's name for it is "lncRNA (ENSHGLG00100051940.1)". Lineage: Eukaryota; Metazoa; Chordata; Mammalia; Rodentia; Bathyergidae. The record is from RNAcentral.